Molecule: non-coding RNA, 411 nt
Organism: Macaca mulatta (Rhesus monkey)
Lineage: Eukaryota; Metazoa; Chordata; Mammalia; Primates; Cercopithecidae
Source: RefSeq, a predicted model, not a curated record
AAUGCCAUAUCGGGUGCACCAAUUAUUAGAGGGACUAGCCAGUUGCCGAAACCUCCGAUUAUGAUUCGUAUUACCAUAAAGAAUAUUCUGACGACUGCGUGGGUGGUAACAAUAACGUUGUAGAUCUGAUCAUCUCCUAGCCGAGUUCCUGGUUGGCCUAAUUCUGCUCGAAUUAGAAGGCUUAAGGCGGUGCCCACUAUCCCCACUCCUGCGCCUAAUAGCAGGAAUCAAAUCCAAGUUCAUCUAUGGCGGAUUCGGAGGGGACUAGGCCUUACGCAAUGGUGCUUGGACCCAUUGCAGAGCCUUGGCCCAGGCUGAGCAGUUGGUUCCUGCGCACAGACUCCCAAGCUGGCUCCUCUCAUCCUUCAAGUCUCAGCUUAAACAGCAAUAAAGAAAGACCGUUCCUGACUA